GACGAACGCUGGCGGCGUGCUUAACACAUGCAAGUCGAACGGAAAGGCCCUGCUUUUGUGGGGUGCUCGAGUGGCGAACGGGUGAGUAACACGUGAGUAACCUGCCCUUGACUUUGGGAUAACUUCAGGAAACUGGGGCUAAUACCGGAUAGGAGCUCCUGCUGCAUGGUGGGGGUUGGAAAGUUUCGGCGGUUGGGGAUGGACUCGCGGCUUAUCAGCUCGUUGGUGGGGUAGUGGCUUACCAAGGCUUUGACGGGUAGCCGGCCUGAGAGGGUGACCGGCCACAUUGGGACUGAGAUACGGCCCAGACUCCUACGGGAGGCAGCAGGGGGGAAUAUUGCACAAUGGGCGGAAGCCUGAUGCAGCAACGCCGCGUGCGGGAUGACGGCCUUCGGGUUGUAAACCGCUUUCGCCUGUGACGAAGCGUGAGUGACGGUAAUGGGUAAAGAAGCACCGGCUAACUACGUG
This 468-nucleotide ribosomal RNA is filed under the name uncultured bacterium. Its description in RNAcentral is "partial 16S ribosomal RNA". It matches the Rfam family "Bacterial small subunit ribosomal RNA", at positions 28 to 507 of the family's 1533-position model. The record is from RNAcentral.